AGCAGUAGCCACGGGAAUACGGAGGGGGCUAGCGUUGUUCGGAAUUACUGGGCGUAAAGCGCACGUAGGCGGCUUUGUAAGUUAGAGGUGAAAGCCCGGAGCUCAACUCCGGAAUUGCCUUUAAGACUGCAGAGCUAGCAGGUGAGAGAGGUGAGUGGAAUUCCGAGUGUAGAGGUGAAAUUCGUAGAUAUUCGGAAGAACACCAGUGGCGAAGGCGGCUUACUGGCUCAUACUGGACGCUGAGGUGCGAAAGCGUGGGGAGCAAACAGGAUUAGAUACCCGCGUAGUCCCUGUCUCUUAUAC
RNAcentral lists this ribosomal RNA (303 nucleotides) under uncultured bacterium. RNAcentral describes it as "partial 16S ribosomal RNA". It matches the Rfam family "Bacterial small subunit ribosomal RNA", at positions 507 to 807 of the family's 1533-position model. The record is from RNAcentral.